RNAcentral lists this ribosomal RNA (447 nucleotides) under uncultured bacterium. Its description in RNAcentral is "bacterial SSU rRNA". It matches the Rfam family "Bacterial small subunit ribosomal RNA", at positions 330 to 792 of the family's 1533-position model. The record is from RNAcentral.
UCCAGACUCCUACGGGAGGCAGCAGUGGGGAAUAUUGGACAAUGGGGGGAACCCUGAUCCAGCGACGCCGCGUGAGUGAAGAAGUAUUUCGGUAUGUAAAGCUCUAUCAGCAGGGAAGAAGAAAUGACGGUACCUGACUAAGAAGCCCCGGCUAACUACGUGCCAGCAGCCGCGGUAAUACGUAGGGGGCAAGCGUUAUCCGGAUUUACUGGGCGUAAAGGGAGCGUAGACGGUGCAGCAAGUCUGGAGUGAAAGGCAGGGGCCCAACCCCUGGACUGCUCUGGAAACUGUGCGGCUAGAGUACUGGAGGGGCAGGCGGAAUUCCUAGUGUAGCGGUGAAAUGCGUAGAUAUUAGGAGGAACACCGGUGGCGAAGGCGGCCUGCUGGACAGUAACUGACGUUGAGGCUCGAAAGCGUGGGGAGCAAACAGGAUUAGAUACCCCCGUA